GAUGAACGCUAGCUACAGGCUUAACACAUGCAAGUCGCGGGGCAGCAUGGGGGUUGCUUGCAAUCCCCGAUGGCGACCGGCGCACGGGUGAGUAACGCGUAUCCAACCUGCCCUUCACCACGGGAUAACCCGGCGAAAGUCGGACUAAUACCGUAUGUUGUCCAUUGACGGCAUCCGAUUUGGACGAAAGGCUUGGCGGUGAGGGAUGGGGAUGCGUCCGAUUAGCCAGACGGCGGGGUAACGGCCCACCGUGGCUACGAUCGGUAGGGGUUCUGAGAGGAAGGUCCCCCACACUGGAACUGAGGCACGGUCCAGACUCCUACGGGAGGCAGCAGUGAGGAAUAUUGGUCAAUGGGCGUAAGCCUGAACCAGCCAAGUAGCGUGCAGGAUGACGGCCCUAUGGGUUGUAAACUGCUUUUAUGCGGGGAUAAAGUGGCCCACGUGUGGGCUUUUGCAGGUACCGCAUGAAUAAGGACCGGCUAAUUCCGUG
This 490-nucleotide ribosomal RNA is filed under the name uncultured bacterium. RNAcentral describes it as "partial 16S ribosomal RNA". It matches the Rfam family "Bacterial small subunit ribosomal RNA", at positions 28 to 507 of the family's 1533-position model. The record is from RNAcentral.